UGCAGCAACGCCGCGUGAGGGAUGACGGCCUAUCGGGUUGUAAACCUCUUUUAGCAGGGAAGAAGCGAAAGUGACGGUACCUGCAGAAAAAGCGCCGGCUAACUACGUGCCAGCAGCCGCGGUAAUACGUAGGGCGCAAGCGUUAUCCGGAAUUAUUGGGCGUAAAGAGCUCGUAGGCGGUUUGUCGCGUCUGCUGUGAAAUCCCGAGGCUCAACUUCGGGUCUGCAGUGGGUACGGGCAGACUAGAGUGCGGUAGGGGAGAUUGGAAUUCCUGGUGUAGCGGUGGAAUGCGCAGAUAUCAGGAGGAACACCGAUGGCGAAGGCAGAUCUCUGGGCCGUAACUGACGCUGAGGAGCGAAAGGGUGGGGAGCAAACAGGCUUAGAUACCCUGGUAGUCCACCCCGUAAACGUUGGGAACUAGUUGUGGGGUCCAUUCCACGGAUUCCGUGACGCAGCUAACGCAUUAAGUUCCCCGCCUGGGGAGUACGGCCGCAAGGCUAAAACUCAAAGGAAUUGACGGGGACCCGCACAAGCGGCGGAGCAUGCGGAUUAAUUCGAUGCAACGCGAAGAACCUUACCAAGGCUUGACAUAUACGAGAACGCUGCAGAAAUGUAGAACUCUUUGG
Molecule: ribosomal RNA, 626 nt
Filed under: Microbacterium sp. Ri3Ps_6519
Lineage: Bacteria; Bacillati; Actinomycetota; Actinomycetes; Micrococcales; Microbacteriaceae
Description: bacterial SSU rRNA
Rfam family: Bacterial small subunit ribosomal RNA
Source: RNAcentral